This is a long non-coding RNA of Bubalus bubalis (water buffalo), 964 nucleotides long. RefSeq lists it as uncharacterized. The record is from RefSeq and is a predicted model, not a curated record. The transcript is spliced from 2 exons. Lineage: Eukaryota; Metazoa; Chordata; Mammalia; Artiodactyla; Bovidae.
GCAAGUUAAAUCAGAAUCUGAACGUGGGGAACAUCAGGAGUCUUAAAUGUUUCUCAGGUGAUUCCAUUUGGCAGCCGAGUUUGAAAACCCCUGGUCUAGGUUCUUGAUGCUUAGUGAAAACCUCUUCCUGGGGGUUUUUAUUAAAGACUUGUUCCUGAUUGGUUACGGGACCUGGAGCUCUCCCAGUUGGCUACUGCCUACUUCCAGCUACGUUCAACCCUGACUGGGUGCUCCAUUCCCAGGUGAAAGAUGCCCCAUUCUAGUUACUGUCUCCAAGGGCAGUUACUAGUUACUGUCUCCUCCUUCGAAUCAGACCCUCCAGGCUGCCAGAGGCUGUCACCAUCUCACUGUGCUCUCCACCUACCUCACGAUAGAAACUGCUGCCUAAAUCUCUUCUACCCCAUCCUAACUUCCUCCCAAAGUGUGGUGGCAAUGCUUUGCUCUCCAGAAAGAUCAUUCCUAGUUCCUUGGCCCCGUCUCUCUUUUAGGCCUCCAGCAUCCAGCAGAGCAGCCUCUGAAACACCCAGAGGGUGGAAGCGAGGACAUGGAAAGAAACACAGGGAAAACACAGCUGCCUGACAACCUAAGAAUUGAGAGGCUGGAUGCAGCUUCAGGGCCACAGAAUGUACCUUGAUCCCAUAUCCAACCGUCUCAUCUUGCAGAUUAAGGCUCUAGAGCCCAGUGACAACUCAGGAUUUCUCCGUGUCGCACACUGAGUACUCAGGACAUCUUUUUUUUUUUUCAGAAUUAGUUCUUAAAGAUUGUGAAACCAGAGAUUCUGCAACUUAAAAAGCAUCUUAGGAAGUCAACCAAUUCAACCAGCCCAAAGUAAAAGCCAGUUCAGUAACCCCUCUGAAAAGACAUCCCUUAAGAAAUGACAGAUUGCUAACUGCCUUCACCCCCUCACAGGAGCCCACUCCAUCCUGAGAAUUAUCAUCUUAUAAAAUCACACUUUGGGCCCAAA